GAGUUCCACACAUCAUUCCUCACACUCGAAUUUCGCAAUUUGGAAAAAUUCAGUGUAUUACAAAAUCUGUCACUGCGUACCGUACACGGGCCCGCGUACCGGUACACCUCCCACGAAAACGCCAAACCCGAGCCUCGGGUUGGCUCAAAACUGUCUGUGUACCGGUACACCAUCGGCCCUGUACCGGUACAGCCAUCAACCCUGUACCGGUACCACCAUCAACCCUGCACCGGUACACUGCCUGCUGAAGGCUACUCGAGAGCUGACCAAAAAUCCGACUUUUCGG
This 286-nucleotide long non-coding RNA is filed under the name Ananas comosus (pineapple). RNAcentral's name for it is "long non-coding RNA (ACOM_LNC036946)". Lineage: Eukaryota; Viridiplantae; Streptophyta; Magnoliopsida; Poales; Bromeliaceae. The record is from RNAcentral.